RNAcentral lists this ribosomal RNA (906 nucleotides) under uncultured archaeon. Its description in RNAcentral is "bacterial SSU rRNA". It matches the Rfam family "Archaeal small subunit ribosomal RNA", at positions 44 to 953 of the family's 1478-position model. The record is from RNAcentral.
CUAAGCCAUGCGAGUCAAAUGUUCUUCGUGAACAUGGCGUACUGCUCAGUAACACGUGGAUAACCUGCCUUAGGACUGGCAUAACCCCGGGAAACUGGGGAUAAUUCCGGAUAGUUCAUGGUAGCUGGAAUGCUCCAUGACCGAAAGCUAUUGCGCCUAAAGAUGGGUCUGCGGUCUAUCAGGUAGUAGUGGGUGUAAUGUACCUACUAGCCGACGACGGAUACGGGUUGUGGGAGCAAGAGCCCGGAGAUGGAUUCUGAGACAUGAAUCCAGGCCCUACGGGGCGCAGCAGGCGCGAAAACUUUACAAUGCGGGAAACCGCGAUAAGGGGACACCGAGUGCCAGCAUCUUAUGUUGGCUGUCCGCAUGUAUAAAUCACAUGUGUUAGCAAGGGCCGGGCAAGACCGGUGCCAGCCGCCGCGGUAACACCGGCGGCCCGAGUGGUGGCCACUAUUAUUGGGUCCAAAGGGUCCGUAGCCGGUUUGGUCAGUCUUCCGGGAAAUCUGACGGCUUAACCGUUAGGCUUUCGGGGGAUACAACCAGGCUUGGGACCGGGAGAGGUAAGAGGUACUACGGGGGUAGGAGUGAAAUCUUGUAAUCCUCGUGGGACCACCAGUGGCGAAGGCGUCUUACCAGAACGGGUCCGACGGUGAGGGACGAAAGCUGGGGGCACGAACCGGAUUAGAUACCCGGGUAGUCCCAGCCGUAAACUAUGCUCGCUAGGUGUCAGGGACGGUGCGACCGUUUCUGGUGCCGCAGGGAAGCCGUGAAGCGAGCCACCUGGGAAGUACGGUCACAAGGCUGAGACUUAAAGGAAUUGGCGGGGGAGCACUACAACGGGUGGAGUCUGCGGUUUAAUUGGACUCAACGCCGGAAAACUCACCGGGGGCGACAGCAAUAUGUAGG